RNAcentral lists this ribosomal RNA (292 nucleotides) under uncultured bacterium. RNAcentral's name for it is "partial 16S ribosomal RNA". It matches the Rfam family "Bacterial small subunit ribosomal RNA", at positions 505 to 796 of the family's 1533-position model. The record is from RNAcentral.
GUGCCAGCAGCCGCGGUAAUACAGAGGCCUCGAGCGUUAGGCGGAAUCACUGGGCUUAAAGCGUGUGUAGGUGGAGUUCUAAGUACCUUGUGAAAUCCCACGGCUCAACCGUGGAACCGCUGGGUAUACUGGUUCUCUUGAGGUACCUAGGGGCGAGCGGAACAAGUGGUGGAGCGGUGAAAUGCGUAGAUAUCACUUGGAACGCCAACGGUGAAAACAGCUCGCUGGGGGUAUCCUGACACUGAGACACGAAAGCCAGGGGAGCAAACGGGAUUAGAUACCCCGGUAGUCC